UCGGGUGACAGGGAGACAGGUGGUGCAUGGUUGUCGUCAGCUCGUGUCGUGAGAUGUUGGGUUAAGUCCCGCAACGAGCGCAACCCCUACGUUUAGUUGCUAACGCGUGAAGGCGAGCACUCUAGACGAACUGCCGUUGACAAAACGGAGGAAGGUGGGGAUGACGUCAAAUCAUCAUGCCCCUUAUGACCUGGGCUACACACGUGCUACAAUGGGCGGUACAAAGGGUCGCGAACCCGCGAGGGGGGAGCCAAUCCCAAAAAGCCGCUCUCAGUUCGGAUUGCAGGCUGCAACUCGCCUGCAUGAAGCCGGAAUCGCUAGUAAUCGCGGAUCAGCAUGCCGCGGUCGAAUACGUUCCCGGGCCUU
Molecule: ribosomal RNA, 366 nt
Filed under: uncultured Desulfotomaculum sp.
Lineage: Bacteria; Bacillati; Bacillota; Clostridia; Eubacteriales; Desulfotomaculaceae
Description: bacterial SSU rRNA
Rfam family: Bacterial small subunit ribosomal RNA
Source: RNAcentral